Molecule: ribosomal RNA, 369 nt
Filed under: Cryptocercus wolongensis
Lineage: Eukaryota; Metazoa; Arthropoda; Insecta; Blattodea; Cryptocercidae
Description: partial 16S large subunit ribosomal RNA
Rfam family: Archaeal large subunit ribosomal RNA (bases 1-185)
Source: RNAcentral
CUCUUCUUGAAUAUAAUUUGAUGUAUGGCCUGCCCACUGAAUAUUGAAGGGCCGCGGUAUUUUGACCGUGCAAAGGUAGCAUAAUCAUUAGUCUUUUAAUUGUGGACUGGAAUGAAUGGUUUGACGAGGUGUUAACUGUCUUUAAUUUUUUUCAUUGAAUUUAAAUUUUAGGUUAAAAUGCCUAAAUGUUUUUUUGGGACGAGAAGACCCUAUAGAGUUUUAUAUAUUUUUGCUUUUUUGUAUGAUAAAUUUUAAUGUAAAAAUUUAUUUUGUUGGGGUGAUGAGAAGAUUAAAUUAACUCUUUUUGUUUUUUUAUAUUUAUUUAUAUAUAUUUUGAUCCAUUUUUAUUGAUUAUAAGACUAAAUUACC